This 131-nucleotide non-coding RNA is filed under the name Clostridium sulfidigenes. Its description in RNAcentral is "SAM-I sequence". It matches the Rfam family "SAM riboswitch aptamer (S box leader)". Rfam says of the family: The SAM riboswitch is found upstream of a number of genes which code for proteins involved in methionine or cysteine biosynthesis in Gram-positive bacteria. Lineage: Bacteria; Bacillati; Bacillota; Clostridia; Eubacteriales; Clostridiaceae. The record is from Rfam by way of RNAcentral.
GUCUUAUCACGAGCGGUGGAGGGACUGGCCCUUUGAAACCCAGCAACCUGUGUAUAUAUAUUGAAUCAUAUAUCUUUAUAUGUGCAUCAUGGUGCUAAAUCCUGCAGCUUUUUUGAGCUGGAAGAUAAGAG